RNAcentral lists this long non-coding RNA (528 nucleotides) under Capsicum annuum. Its description in RNAcentral is "long non-coding RNA (CANN_LNC010556)". Lineage: Eukaryota; Viridiplantae; Streptophyta; Magnoliopsida; Solanales; Solanaceae. The record is from RNAcentral.
CCAUCCUAAAGGUGAAACCAAUGAGGCAAGAAGCCGUGGCGGGGAGUAACCAGAGUAGAGGCGCUGUUUAAGGGAAAAAGUAUCCAGAUUACCAUGUUAAUAGUGACAGAAGAACAUAUUAUUUAAGAAUAAUCUAGUAUAUAGUAAGCCAAUAUGACCAUAUUUUGUUGUGUACGUGAUUGAAGGGAAUAUUUUGAAAAAAGCAAAUUUAUGAAAAAUGAAUGAUAAUAUAUCUGAUGUGAUGGUAGAUAAAUUCAAGAUACUUAUUUUGUAUGCACUUAGAAAUAUAAAAGUAGCAGAUAUAAGAAAAAUAAUAUUAGAAAAAGCUUUUGGUAAAAAUUAUAUGUCUAGAAUAAGCUAUAUACCACAAAUACCUAACGACUCUUAUAAAUACUUAAGGUGAUAAGUUACAUAAAAAAAAAAAGAAGAUAAAAACAAAAACUUUUGCAGUUACUAGAAAAAAUAAAAAUAAACACAUGGAAAACAAAGAUAUAAAAUUUCUUAAUAAAAAUAUGCAAAAACUACUAA